Molecule: ribosomal RNA, 777 nt
Filed under: uncultured bacterium
Lineage: Bacteria
Description: bacterial SSU rRNA
Rfam family: Bacterial small subunit ribosomal RNA
Source: RNAcentral
CCUUCGGGAGCCGAGUAGAGUGGCGUCCGGGUGAGUAACACGUGGGUAAUUUACCUUCGGGUGGGGAAUAACUCAGGGAAACUUGAGCUAAUACCGCAUAAUGCAGCGGCAGCUUCGGCUGACAGUUGUUAAAGCGGGGGAUUCUUCGGAACCUCGUGCCUGAAGAGAAGCUUGCGGCGGAUUAGGCAGUUGGUGAGGUAAUGGCUCACCAAGCCAGCGAUCCGUAGCCGGCCUGAGAGGGCGGUCGGCCACACUGACACUGACAUACGGGUCAGACUCCUACGGGAGGCAGCAGUCGGGAAUUUUGGGCAAUGGGCGCAAGCCUGACCCAGCAACGCCGCGUGAAGGAUGAAGUUUUUCGGAAUGUAAACUUCACAAGAAUGGGAAGAAUAAGAGAGGGUUAAUACCCCUCUUGAUGACGGUACCAUUUGUAAGCUCCGGCUAACUCCGUGCCAGCAGCCGCGGUAAUACGGGGGGAGCAAGCGUUGUUCGGAUUUACUGGGCGUAAAGGGCGCGUAGGCGGCGCGACAAGUCACUUGUGAAAUCUCCGGGCUCAACUCGGGACGGUCAAGUGAUACUGUCGUGCUAGAGUGCGGAAGGGGCAACUGGAAUUCUCGGUGUAGCGGUGAAAUGCGUAGAUAUCGAGAGGAACACCUGCGGCGAAGGCGGGUUGCUGGGCCGACACUGACGCUGAGGCGCGAAAGCUAGGGGAGCGAACGGGAUUAGAUACCCCGGUAGUCCUAGCCUUAAACGAUGAAAUGCUGGGUGUCCGAGGUU